Molecule: transfer RNA, 81 nt
Filed under: Opitutaceae bacterium
Lineage: Bacteria; Pseudomonadati; Verrucomicrobiota; Opitutia; Opitutales; Opitutaceae
Description: tRNA-Leu
Rfam family: tRNA
About the family: Transfer RNA (tRNA) molecules are approximately 80 nucleotides in length. Their secondary structure includes four short double-helical elements and three loops (D, anti-codon, and T loops).
Source: RNAcentral
GCCCGGGUGGUGGAAUGGCAGACACGUCGGUCUUAGAAGCCGAUGCCGCAAGGCGUGAAGGUUCGAGUCCUUUCCCGGGCA